Molecule: ribosomal RNA, 371 nt
Filed under: uncultured bacterium
Lineage: Bacteria
Description: bacterial SSU rRNA
Rfam family: Bacterial small subunit ribosomal RNA
Source: RNAcentral
GGGGGGGGCAAGCGUUGUUCGGAAUUACUGGGCGUAAAGGGCUUGUAGGCGGCCAACUAAGUCAGACGUGAAAUCCCUCGGCUUAACCGGGGAAUGGCGUCUGAUACUGGAUGGCUUGAGUUCGGGAGAGGGAUGCGGAAUUCCAGGUGUAGCGGUGAAAUGCGUAGAUAUCUGGAGGAACACCGGUGGCGAAGGCGACAUCCUGGACCGACACUGACGCUGAUAAGCGAAAGCCAGGGGAGCAAACGGGAUUAGAUACCCCGGUAGUCCUGGCCCUAAACGAUGAAUGCUUGGUGUGACGGGUAUCGAUCCCUGUCGUGCCGAAGCUAACGCAUUAAGCAUUCCGCCUGGGGAGUACGGUCGCAAGGCUG